Molecule: long non-coding RNA, 787 nt
Organism: Danio aesculapii
Lineage: Eukaryota; Metazoa; Chordata; Actinopteri; Cypriniformes; Danionidae
Exons: 6
Source: RefSeq, a predicted model, not a curated record
UUUAAAUCUUGGCGCGAGCAUGCGUUUAGGUUGUCAUGGUGACGCGCGCUCACACAACCGCACGUCAUGGCACUGCGCUGAACUCUGUCCAGACUGUGAAUGUGGUAUUAUCUUCGCGAUCUGUAGGCACUACGGAAACGAAAGGCGCAUAAUCAUAACUCAAAUAAUCUCCGCCUAAAUACUGAACGGUAUUUUCUGAUGUUGGGCAAAAACUUAGCCUCAAAACGUAGCUGUCUGUCACACACAGCUUGUUGCAUGCUGAUCCAUACACGAGAGCCUAACGGAGAACAUUUAAGCUGUGCUCCUCACCUGAGCAGGUACAGAGCAGAGCUUCAUCUCACACUAGCACAUUGAGAAUUGAAGGUCGGUUGUUGCUGACUACAGAAAGGUUCUUAUAUGGAGGCAUGUAAAAGCAAGGAAAGUGAAACUUCAGCUAGACCUUGAGUUCAGUUUACAAUAUGAAGAUCCUGAUAUCAACAUCUGAUCUGAUCAACACCUGAUUUUCAUCUGAGCUGCAGAGUACCAACAUGUUACAAAUGAGAAUUUUCCCCACAAAUUCUUUGGACAACCGCACCACCACCUAUUUCAUUUGAUGACAAUUUUAAGGCAAACAGCAUCCAAAACUGACAAGACAGCAGAUACCCUGGCUAAUCUUUUGAAGGUUUAUGAUGAGCAGGAACUGCAUGAUGUCAGUUCAUGAUGGACUACUGUUAUCAGAGGUCUUUUGGUCUUGCUGCGUGAGCGUGACUGGGGAUUCUUUAGGACCACCCUGAUUAAUAAUCCUGAA